Non-coding RNA from Pangasianodon gigas (Mekong giant catfish), 72 nucleotides. Lineage: Eukaryota; Metazoa; Chordata; Actinopteri; Siluriformes; Pangasiidae. The record is from the annotation of a GenBank genome assembly.
AAGAGCUCGUAGUCUGGUGGGUUUUCCGUACUAGUCAAAAAAACUCUCCGGAGGUUUCGUCAUUAAGGCAUA